RNAcentral lists this ribosomal RNA (433 nucleotides) under uncultured bacterium. Its description in RNAcentral is "partial 16S ribosomal RNA". It matches the Rfam family "Bacterial small subunit ribosomal RNA", at positions 29 to 507 of the family's 1533-position model. The record is from RNAcentral.
AACGAACGCUGGCGGCAUGCCUAACACAUGCAAGUCGAACGAGACCUUCGGGUCUAGUGGCGCACGGGUGCGUAACGCGUGGGAACCUGCCCUUAGGUUCGGAAUAACUCCCCGAAAGGGGUGCUAAUACCGGAUAAUGUCUUCGGACCAAAGAUUUAUCGCCUUUGGGUGGGCCCGCGUUGGAUUAGCUAGUUGGUAGGGUAAAAGCCUACCAAGGCGACGAUCCAUAGCUGGUCUGAGAGGAUGAUCAGCCACGCUGGGACUGAGACACGGCCCAGACUCCUACGGGAGGCAGCAGUAGGGAAUAUUGGACAAGGGGCGAAAGCCUGAUCCAGCAAUGCCGCGGGAGUGAUGAAGGCCUUAGGGUUGUAAAGCUCUUUUACCCGGGAUGAUAAUGACAGUACCGGGAGAAUAAGCUCCGGCUAACUCCGUG